Molecule: ribosomal RNA, 708 nt
Filed under: uncultured Gammaproteobacteria bacterium
Lineage: Bacteria; Pseudomonadati; Pseudomonadota; Gammaproteobacteria
Description: bacterial SSU rRNA
Rfam family: Bacterial small subunit ribosomal RNA
Source: RNAcentral
GGUGGCGGUAGGUUACACUGCAGUCGUGCGAGAAAGUAUCUUCGGAUAUGAGUAGAGCGGCGGACGGGUGAGUACGCGUAGGAAUCUACCUAGUAGAAGGGGAUAGCCCGGGGAAACCCGGAUUAAUACCGUAUACCUCCUUCGGGAGAAAGAAGGCCUCUCUUUGAAGCUUUCGCUAUUAGAUGAGCCUGCGUAAGAUUAGCUUGUUGGUGAGGUAAAGGCUCACCAAGGUUACGAUCUUUAGCUGGUCUGAGAGGACGAUCAGCCACAUUGGGACUGAGACACGGCCCAGACUCCUACGGGAGGCAGCAGUGGGGAAUAUUGGACAAUGGGCGCAAGCCUGAUCCAGCCAUACCGCGUGUGUGAAGAAGGCCUUCGGGUUGUAAAGCACUUUAAGCAGGGAGAAAAAGUUAUAAGUUAAUACCUUAUAACCGUGAUGUUACCUGCAGAAUAAGCACCGGCUAAUUCCGUGCCAGCAGCCGCGGUAAUACGGAAGGUGCAAGCGUUAAUCGGAAUUACUGGGCGUAAAGCGCGCGUAGGUGGUUAGUUAAGUUGGAUGUGAAAGCCCUGGGCUCAACCUAGGAACUGCAUCCAAAACUAACUCACUAGAGUACGAUAGAGGGAGGUAGAAUUCAUAGUGUAGCGGUGGAAUGCGUAGAUAUUAUGAAGAAUACCAGUGGCGAAAGCGGGCUCCUGGAUCUGUACUGA